Molecule: ribosomal RNA, 400 nt
Filed under: uncultured bacterium
Lineage: Bacteria
Description: partial 16S ribosomal RNA
Rfam family: Bacterial small subunit ribosomal RNA
Source: RNAcentral
CCUACGGGCGGCAGCAGUGAGGAAUAUUGGUCAAUGGGCGCGAGCCUGAACCAGCCAAGUAGCGUGCAGGAUGACUGCCCUACGGGUUGUAAACUUCUUUUAUAAAGGAAUAAAGUGAGGCACGUGUGCCUUUUUGUAUGUCCUUUAUGAAUAAGGAUCGGCUAACUCCGUGCCAGCAGCCGCGGUAAUACGGAGGAUCCGAGCGUUAUCCGGAUUUAUUGGGGUUAAAGGGAGCGUAGAUGGGUUGUUAAGUCAGUUGUGAAAGUUUGCAGCUCAACCGUAAAAUUGCAAUUUAUACUGGCAGUCUUGAGUACAGUUGAGGUAGGCGGAAUGCAUGGUGUAGCGGUGAAAUGCUUAGAUAUCACGAAGAACUCCGAUUGCGAAGGCAGCUUACUAAACU